UGAUUGAGGACAGAUGUUGAAACUCCUCUCCACAAUCUGCACCUUUGCUAGAACGGCUGAGUAUGUCUUGAGCUCCAGUACCAAUAAGUGUUGCUUGAUCUCUGGGCGGAGGCCCCACUAGAAUUUCGUGGUCUUCCUGCCCUCAUCCAUCAAUGUCUCCGGGGAGUAUCGGCCCAGCUCUAGGAACUUACGAGCAUAUUCCGAUACCUUCAUAUUUCCCACGGAUGUGCUCAAGGAGAUACUCCGCAUGGAAGGCCGCUAAGAACUGCUCCCAAGUGGCUGGUGUAGGCAAGGUGGUCUGCUUGAGCUCCCACCAAUGACCUGCUUCCCUACCAGCAUGUAGGAAACAAGGGCAGCUCUCUGCUCAGAAACCACUCCCAAGGUCUUGAAAGCUCUCUCAGUCUCCCCCAACCAGUACUGGGCAUCUUUGAAAGAGGAUCCCCCUGCAAAAGUGGAAGGGUU
RNAcentral lists this long non-coding RNA (462 nucleotides) under Carica papaya (papaya). RNAcentral's name for it is "long non-coding RNA (CPAP_LNC007239)". The record is from RNAcentral. Lineage: Eukaryota; Viridiplantae; Streptophyta; Magnoliopsida; Brassicales; Caricaceae.